CGACAAGCAAUUAGCGAGUUGUCACGUGAGCUCUCGACCAAUGAGAUCGCUCUAUUUUCCAUCGUGCUAUCUGCAUAAUUUGGACAGAAAAAUUUGCAUUCGACGGAAAAUAAAUCGAAAAAAAAUAUUAAUAUUAAAAUUUUCUUGCAAAAUUUCAAGUUUAGUAGUACUAUUGCUAAAGAUCUGGUGAUAUCUGCAAAAAUCUCUGAGGUAAACGUUAUUUUCAAUGUUAUUUUGAUGUUUGAAGUUAGUCGACUCCCCGCGACGUGUUGACUCGAGUCUAAAUAUGUUUACAAUGUUUAAAAUGAAAUAUCUAGAAUUCCCAUGGUUCGAUUUUUUUCAUUUUUGGUAGUCGUCAAGACAAAAGUAUAAUCUUUAAAUCUGCUGGAAUGAUCCCGGUGAUCCCCCGGCAGUUUUCGAGAUAUUGACCAUUGAAGUGACUAUUGUCAACUCGACGUUCGCUAAAAUGGCGUCUAAUACCUUGGAAACAAAAUGCGCCAUCAAAGAUGAUAUUUUCAAUGAAUUUUUUUAUUUUGUUAAAAUAUUAUUUAGAAGACUUAGGAGUUGUUUUAAUAUUUUUUUAGAAUUUAUAUCUGUGCGAUUUUCACAGUUUUGUUGUCUUUGGCCGACGCGACUGGAUCGUGUACGUAUUUCAAGACGAGCUUGAUCUCCUGAUACUGGGGUUUUUGUGGCAAAUCGAGCUGCGGAAUCCUCAGCAUGGACAAUCCAGGACAAAUCAGUGUCAUAACAGUCCAUUUCAAACCAGCAGAGAGCUUCACUUGUUUUAAAACAAUAAACAAGUUUUUAUGUAUCAUAUAACAAAUUAAGU
Molecule: non-coding RNA, 829 nt
Organism: Paramuricea clavata
Lineage: Eukaryota; Metazoa; Cnidaria; Anthozoa; Malacalcyonacea; Plexauridae
Source: the annotation of a GenBank genome assembly